RNAcentral lists this long non-coding RNA (1402 nucleotides) under Anser brachyrhynchus (Pink-footed goose). Its description in RNAcentral is "lncRNA (ENSABRG00000014723.1)". Lineage: Eukaryota; Metazoa; Chordata; Aves; Anseriformes; Anatidae. The record is from RNAcentral.
GCAGAGGAAAAAUGUUGCUUUUCCGUGUUCGCAGCGCUAGGUGGCAACACGCUGCGCAGGCAUGUCAGUGCAGCAGGCCUCUGCGGCGGCUUCCACUCCAAGCCCUCGCCAGCUCCCACUCGCUCCAGUCUGCAACCGGAAGGGUGUGGGCGGUGGGACUGGAGGAGCCGUACAACUUCAGAUUUUUUCCCUCUCAAAUCAGGCUUUAACCGCUUGGUGGCUGCUACUGAGGGAAUGAAGGAGCCUUUCGGAGCGAGCCAGUGCAGGACUCGGCUCCUCAAGUGUUUUGGGGCAACCACACAGAAACACCGACACAGAAACGUAAAUGUGCUUGUCGUUUACUGUAAGUGCAUUUCCAUCACCAUAAAAAUAUGUGAACCAAUACUGCUUAUUUCAAUUUGAUGUAUAGCGCCUUACAUCACUAUCUAUAAACACAUAUAUUGUAUAUAUACUGGAUAUACAAUAUUAGCGCAGGCAUGUUAGUUAACAGUAUUUUUUUUAAAACCAUGACAGCUGUAUCCUUACAUUUUAAAGGCGAUAUCUGCUCCCAGCCACUUAUGUAAGAAACAAAUAAGCAAGAAGCAUCAAGACCUAGAGGUGACCAGUAAACAUGACUAUAGCAGACUUGUAUAAAAAUUCAGGUUACAGUUCUAAAUGGGAAAGUCUAGAGCAGAACAUGUGAAUGGUUCUUUUCUUUUAAACUUGCUUAACAAGGCCAACAUAGAGUACAUUCAAAUCUGCAUAAAAUCAGCAAAAUAACAUGCUUCUGUGCUGAGGAAUAUAGAAGAGAAAACUGAGAAAAUGCUGAAAGAAGGGUGAUAAAAUUACUGUGACAGUUCUGAUCAGAUGGCCUUCUGAGCUCUUUCCAAACAAUACGUAGUGUGCUAUUUACAAUGUUGUAUCAACUUAUGAGGCAAAAAUCCUGAAAAAAUAAUACUGUUGUGUCUGGACUGAAAUUCACCACAUAUACUGGAAACCUUUAAUCUCGUUCUUUGCUGUCGAUGUAGACUUGGACGUGGUACGCAUUGUGGUAGGGAACCACACUGACUUAAUCAUAUCUGUAUUUAGAUAUUAUCCUUCUGUUACAGAAAAUGACCUAGAUUAACUGAAAUUUGAAGUUAAGAUCCCAGGCUUCACUCUACUCCCAUCACCCAUCUUUUCCAUAACUGUUUACCUUCUAUCUUUAGAUAUUUUAUUUUUUCUGCAUAUAACCACUUAACUUCUCCUUCCCAGAAGGUAUGAUUUCUCUCAUUCAACAAACACCUUGUAAAUUAGCACAGCUCUGCGUAAUAAGCCAUACUCAAGCCUCUUUUUGUUUAUGUCAAUUUUACCACGUGACGGGAAUUUAAAGCCAAGCAAACACAAUUCACGAGGACUGCUGGGGACACUCAACAGAAGUUGC